UACGUAGGUGGCGAGCGUUAUCCGGAUUUAUUGGGCGUAAAGCGUGCGCAGGCGGCUUGUUAAGUCUAAAAUAAAAGCCCGGAGCUUAACUCCGGUUCGUUUUAGAAACUGGCGAGCUUGAGUAUGGUAGAGGCAAACGGAAUUUCUAGUGUAGCGGUAAAAUGCGUAGAUAUUAGAAGGAACACCAGUGGCGAAGGCGGCCUGCUGGACCGGAACUGACGCUGAGGCACGAAAGCGUGGGGAGCAAACAGG
RNAcentral lists this ribosomal RNA (252 nucleotides) under uncultured bacterium. RNAcentral's name for it is "partial 16S ribosomal RNA". It matches the Rfam family "Bacterial small subunit ribosomal RNA", at positions 524 to 776 of the family's 1533-position model. The record is from RNAcentral.